AUUGAACGCUGGCGGAAUGCUUUACACAUGCAAGUCGAACGGCAGCACGGACUUCGGUCUGGUGGCGAGUGGCGAACGGGUGAGUAAUAUAUCGGAACGUGCCCAGUCGUGGGGGAUAACGUAGUGAAAAUUACGCUAAUACCGCAUACGACCUAUGGAUGAAAGCGGGGGACCUUUGGGCCUCGCGCGAUUGGAGCGGCCGAUAUCAGAUUAGGUAGUUGGUGGGGUAAAGGCUCACCAAGCCAACGAUCUGUAGCUGGUCUGAGAGGACGACCAGCCACACUGGAACUGAGACACGGCCCAGACUCCUACGGGAGGCAGCAGUGGGGAAUUUUGGACAAUGGACGCAAGUCUGAUCCAGCCAUUCCGCGUGCAGGACGAAGGCCUUCGGGUUGUAAACUGCUUUUGUACAGAACGAAAAGGUUUCUACUAAUACUAGGAGCUCAUGACGGUACUGUAAGAAUAAGCACCGGCUAACUACGUGCCAGCAGCCGCCGUAA
This 500-nucleotide ribosomal RNA is filed under the name uncultured bacterium. Its description in RNAcentral is "partial 16S ribosomal RNA". It matches the Rfam family "Bacterial small subunit ribosomal RNA", at positions 30 to 523 of the family's 1533-position model. The record is from RNAcentral.